This 1075-nucleotide long non-coding RNA is filed under the name Phasianus colchicus (ring-necked pheasant). RNAcentral describes it as "lncRNA (ENSPCLG00000003516.1)". The record is from RNAcentral. Lineage: Eukaryota; Metazoa; Chordata; Aves; Galliformes; Phasianidae.
UCGCCUCAAUGGAACGUUGUGCUGGCGAGCGGCUCUGUGACGUCACCGCCCCCCGCCGCCGCCGUCGCCGCCGCCGCCGCCGGCCGCAGCCCGGGGCAGAACGCGGAGCUCGCACUGAGUGCAGCGGGACGGGGAGCGGGGUCAGCGGGGACGGGGAGCAGAGAGCGUUGGACGGCGUGGAAAUGGGGUUAAUUCUGCAGCCAACCAAAAAUGCAAGUGGUCUCCAAUGUUCAGAAGAAAAGAUUGGGUCACUGCAUCUGCUCCCCUCCUCCUAAAGCCAUCAUUUCACACCAGCCUGCCUAUUGUCAUCAAGCCAAGUACACGGAGUAGCAGCACACUGUGAUCGCUGCCUUUCAACCUACACUGUGGAUUAGCCUCACCACGGAUCACAGACUGCCCACCCACACAAGAAUUGUCCGCCAGAGGCACUGCAGAAAGAACACCCCCAGCAGAGACAAGGUGGGUGUCCUGAAAUUCGCUACAGCCAGAACAGUCUGCCAUGAAAAACUUCAUGAAAUCCUGUCUGCCCUCAGUUUUAAAUUUGAUUUGGCUGAACUGGUUUUAAAACUGGCUGGAGAAGUGUGUGUAUGCCCCAGAAGAGGCCAGCAGGAUCCCCGAGAAGAGGCAGAAAUUCAGCUCCUAAUGCCUGCACCCAUCAGAGCAGUGUCCCCUCUGCCAGGCUGGGUGGAGUGCCUGCUCUGAUAAAAGGCUGAGCAGAGCAGACAUUAAAGGGAGGUCGUUAGCAAAGAUCAAAAGGCACGAAUGAGAGAUAGAGCUGGAACAUUUGCAAAGCUACCAAAGCCUUCCAGUGUGAAUGAAGAGAAGGAUGUUGUGAUGCUAAAUGAAUGGCGGCUAUCUAGAUAAUGAUAUCAGAAUUAAAUUAAUUAAGAGAAGAUUAAAGAAAGAUUGCAAAAUGAAGGAUGUAAACCUGGCCCUGCUGGAGUCAAUAGGUGUUGUGACUGUGAAGAGGUUGAGAUUUUGCUCGUGAUGGAUACCAGGAGAAAGGAAGUUACAAACUGUGGGCUAGUUUAGAUUCUAUUAAAUUAGGGAAUAAAUUAGUUGUGACGGACUUACA